UAGGGAAUCUUCCGCAAUGGACGCAAGUCUGACGGAGCAACGCCGCGUGAGUGAAGAAGGAUUUCGGUUCGUAAAACUCUGUUGUUAGAGAAGAACAGCGCAUAGAGUAACUGUUAUGCGUGUGACGGUAUCUAACCAGAAAGCCACGGCUAACUACGUGCCAGCAGCCGCGGUAAUACGUAGGUGGCAAGCGUUGUCCGGAUUUAUUGGGCGUAAAGCGAGCGCAGGCGGACUAGCCAGUCAGUCUUAAAAGUUCGGGGCUUAACCCCGUGAUGGGAUUGAAACUACUAGUCUAGAGUAUCGGAGAGGAAAGUGGAAUUCCUAGUGUAGCGGUGAAAUGCGUAGAUAUAUGGAGGAACACCAGUGGCGAAGGCGACUCUCUGGUCUGUAACUGACGCUGAGGCUCGAAAGCGUGGGUAGCAAACAGG
Molecule: ribosomal RNA, 428 nt
Filed under: Bacteroidota bacterium
Lineage: Bacteria; Pseudomonadati; Bacteroidota
Description: Bacteroidetes bacterium partial 16S ribosomal RNA
Rfam family: Bacterial small subunit ribosomal RNA
Source: RNAcentral